Molecule: small RNA, 994 nt
Filed under: Pan troglodytes (chimpanzee)
Lineage: Eukaryota; Metazoa; Chordata; Mammalia; Primates; Hominidae
Description: retained intron
Source: RNAcentral
UGGCCUUCCUCCAGUUCCCUGCCUCUGAUAUUGACUAAGCCACGGGACUGUUGGCACACCUCCUCUCUGCAUUUGGAGUAUCGUCUUCAUAACGCUAAUUUCCAUGCAGCUCCUUCCAUAGCCAUUUGGUCUCAUGAAACUUGGCAGGUCUGAAUUUGGAUUUGACUUUUUCUAUGUGGUCGGUGGUAUGGCACUUAUAGUUACCUAAAAGUUCUUUGACACUGGUGGGACCUGCCCAAUCAAAACAGAUGCAAGAGUGUUUUUCCUUCUUGGUCGUAGAAAGCAUUUGAGGUGGAACGCCAAGAGCUACUGGCCAGUAAUAAGAAGAAAUGGGAGCGAGCCCUUCAGGCUCAUAAUGCCAAAGAGCUGGAGUAUCUUAACAACCGCAUGAAGAAAGUAGAGGACUAUGAGAAGCAGCUGAACAGGCAGAGGAUCUGGGAUUGCGAAGAAUACAACAUGAUCAAGAUCAAGCUGGAGCAGGAUGUGCAGAUUCUUGAGCAGCAGCUUCAGCAGAGGAAAGCAAUUUAUCAGCUAAACCAAGAGAAAUUAGAGUACAACUUGCAGGUGCUGAAGAAGAGAGAUGAAGAAAGCACAGUAAUUAAAUCCCAGCAGAAGAGGAAGAUCAAUCGCCUGCAUGAUAUACUUAACAAUCUGAGAUCAAAAUAUGCCAAGCAAAUAAAGCAGUUUCAGGAGGAGAACCAGUCUCUAACCUCGGACUACAAACGUCUUGUGAUGCAAUUCAAGGAGCUACAGAAAGCCAUGAGGCAUUUUGCUCUUAUUGAUGAUGAGAAGUUUCGGGAGAUUUGGCUGAUGAAUGAAGAGGAGGCGAAGGACCUAAUAGCCAGAGCCUUUGAUGUGGACAGGAUCAUCCACACCCAUCAUCUGGGGCUUCCCUGGGCAGCACCUGAUUUCUGGUUCCUGAACAAUGUUGGGCCUAUUUCUCAGCAGCCCCAGAAGUCCGCCACACAGAUAGUAGAAGAAAUGCUUAUGCGCU